UGGGCCUUUCCUGACGCUGAGGAGCGAAAGCGUGGGGAGCGAACAGGCUUAGAUACCCUGGUAGUCCACGCUGUAAACGGUGGGUACUAGGUGUGGGGUCCAUUCCACGGGUUCCGUGCCGUAGCUAACGCUUUAAGUACCCCGCCUGGGGAGUACGGCCGCAAGGCUAAAACUCAAAGGAAUUGACGGGGCCCCGCACAAGCGGCGGAGCAUGCGGAUUAAUUCGAUGCAACGCGUAGAACCUUACCUGGGUUUGACAUGGAUCGGGAGUGCUCAGAGAUGGGUGUGCCUCUUUUGGGGUCGGUUCACAGGUGGUGCAUGGCUGUCGUCAGCUCGUGUCGUGAGAUGUUGGGUUAAGUCCCGCAACGAGCGCAACCCUUGUUCACUGUUGCCAGCACGUUAUGGUGGGGACUCAGUGGAGACCGCCGGGGUCAACUCGGAGGAAGGUGGGGAUGACGUCAAGUCAUCAUGCCCCUUAUGUCCAGGGCUUCACGCAUGCUACAAUGGCUGGUACAGAGAGUGGCGAGCCUGUGAGGGUGAGCGAAUCUCGGAAAGCCGGUCUCAGUUCGGAUUGGGGUCUGCAACUCGACCUCAUGAAGUCGGAGUCGCUAGUAAUCGCAGAUCAGCAACGCUGCGGUGAAUACGUUCCCGGGGCUUGUACACACCGCCCGUCAAGUCAUGAAAGUUGGUAACACCCGAAGCCGGUGGCCUAACCGUUGUGGGGGAGCCGUCGAAGGUGGGACUGGU
RNAcentral lists this ribosomal RNA (747 nucleotides) under uncultured organism. Its description in RNAcentral is "SSU rRNA". It matches the Rfam family "Bacterial small subunit ribosomal RNA", at positions 730 to 1472 of the family's 1533-position model. The record is from RNAcentral.